UAAGGAAUAUUGGUCAAUGGGCGGAAGCCUGAACCAGCCAUGCCGCGUGCAGGAAGACGGCCCUACGGGUUGUAAACUGCUUUUGCAGGGGAAUAAACCUUCGUAUGUAUACGAAGCUGAAUGUACUCUGAGAAUAAGGAUCGGCUAACUCCGUGCCAGCAGCCGCGGUAAUACGGAGGAUCCAAGCGUUAUCCGGAUUUAUUGGGUUUAAAGGGUGCGUAGGUGGUCUAUUAAGUCAGGGGUGAAAGACGGCAGCUUAACUGUCGCAGUGCCUUUGAUACUGAUGGACUUGAAUAAACUAGAGGUAGGCGGAAUGUGACAAGUAGCGGUGAAAUGCAUAGAUAUGUCACAGAACACCAAUUGCGAAGGCAGCUUACUAUGGUUUUAUUGACACUGAGGCACGAAAGCGUGGGGAUCAAACA
This 422-nucleotide ribosomal RNA is filed under the name uncultured Mucilaginibacter sp. Its description in RNAcentral is "bacterial SSU rRNA". It matches the Rfam family "Bacterial small subunit ribosomal RNA", at positions 355 to 774 of the family's 1533-position model. Lineage: Bacteria; Pseudomonadati; Bacteroidota; Sphingobacteriia; Sphingobacteriales; Sphingobacteriaceae. The record is from RNAcentral.